ACCGUGCGGUGUCGUCUCGGCGACUUGCAUGGAAAGCUAAGAGGGAAGCCGGUGUGAUACCGGCGCUGUGCCCGCAACUGUAAGCUGGGAGCCCUGAACCACUUGUGUCACUGGCGCGCGCCCUAUUGGCGUUUGCUGGGAAGACGGUUCAGGCGUGACGAUCAGCAAGCCAGGAGACCUGCCAUCGCGUCGUUCGUCCG
RNAcentral lists this non-coding RNA (200 nucleotides) under Erythrobacter longus. The record is from RNAcentral. Lineage: Bacteria; Pseudomonadati; Pseudomonadota; Alphaproteobacteria; Sphingomonadales; Erythrobacteraceae.